This 279-nucleotide ribosomal RNA is filed under the name uncultured bacterium. RNAcentral's name for it is "partial 16S ribosomal RNA". It matches the Rfam family "Bacterial small subunit ribosomal RNA", at positions 506 to 784 of the family's 1533-position model. The record is from RNAcentral.
UGCCAGCCGCCGCGGUAAUACGGAGGGUGCAAGCGUUGUUCGGAAUUAUUGGGCGUAAAGCGCGUGUAGGCGGUUCGUUAAGUCUGAUGUGAAAUACCCAGGCUUAACUUGGGAGGUGCAUUUGAAACUGAUAGACUUGAGUAAAGAAGAGGUAAGUGGAAUUCCUAGUGUAGCGGUGGAAUGCGUAGAUAUUAGGAGGAACACCAGUGGCGAAGGCGACUUACUGGUCUUUUACUGACGCUGAGGCACGAAAGCGUGGGGAGCAAACAGGAUUAGAUA